GAAAUGCGAAAAGUAAUGCGAAUUGCAGAAUUCAGCGAGUCAUCGAAUCUUUGAACGCACCUUGCGCUCCUUGGUAUUCCUUGGAGCAUGCCUGUUUGAGUAUCAUGAAAUCUUCAAAGUAAAUCUUUUGUUAACUCAAUUGGUUUCUACUUUGGUAUUGGAGGUCUUUGCAGCUUCACACCUGCUCCUCUUUGUUCAUUAGCUGGAUCUCAGUGUUAUGCUUGGUUCCACUCGGCGUGAUAAGUUAUCUAUCGCUGAGGACACUGUAAAAGGUGGCCAAGGUAAAUGCAGAUGAACCGCUUCUAAUAGUCCAUUGACUUGGACAAUACUUUUAUGAUCUGAUCUCAAAUCAGGUAGGACUACCCGCUGAACUUAAGC
RNAcentral lists this unclassified non-coding RNA (378 nucleotides) under plant metagenome. RNAcentral's name for it is "partial contains 5.8S ribosomal RNA, internal transcribed spacer 2, and large subunit ribosomal RNA". The stretch from base 1 to 105 matches the Rfam family "5.8S ribosomal RNA", at positions 50 to 154 of the family's 154-position model. The record is from RNAcentral.